Molecule: ribosomal RNA, 513 nt
Filed under: uncultured bacterium
Lineage: Bacteria
Description: partial 16S ribosomal RNA
Rfam family: Bacterial small subunit ribosomal RNA
Source: RNAcentral
GACGAACGCUGGCGGCGUGCUUAACACAUGCAAGUCGAACGAGAGCGUAGAGAAAGCUUGCUUUUUCCACAAGCUAGUGGCAAACGGGUGAGUAACGCGUAAACAACCUGCCCUACGGAUGGGGACAACAGCUGGAAACGGCUGCUAAUACCGAAUACGUUCCGCACGUCGCAUGACUAUCGGAAGAAAGGAUGGCCUCUAUUUAUAAGCUAUCGCCGGCGGAGGGGCUUGCGUCUGAUUAGCUAGCUGGGGGGGGCACGGCCCACCAACGCGGCGAACAGGAGGCCGUCUGAGAGGAUGGACGGCCACAUUGGGACUGGGACACGGGCCAGACCUCUACGGGAGGGAGCAGUGGGGAAUCUUCCGCAAUGGGCGAAAGCCUGACGGAGCAACGCCGCGUGAGUGAAGACGGCCUUCGGGUUGUAAAGCUCUGUUAUACGGGACGAAUAAUCUUGUGGUUAAUCCCCAUGAGUAUUGACGGUACCGUAAGAGAAAGCCACGGCUAACUACGUG